RNAcentral lists this ribosomal RNA (305 nucleotides) under uncultured bacterium. RNAcentral describes it as "bacterial SSU rRNA". It matches the Rfam family "Bacterial small subunit ribosomal RNA", at positions 338 to 660 of the family's 1533-position model. The record is from RNAcentral.
CCUACGGGAGGCAGCAGUAAGGGAUAUUGGUCAAUGGGGGAAACCCUGAUGCAGCGACGCCGCGUGAGCGGUGAAGUAUUUCGGUAUGUAAAGCUCUAUCAGCAGGGAAGAAAAUGACGGUACCUGACUAAGAAGCCCCGGCUAACUACGUGCCAGCAGCCGCGGUAAUACGUAGGGGGCAAGCGUUAUCCGGAUUUACUGGGUGUAAAGGGAGCGUAGACGGCUGUGCAAGCCAGAUGUGAAAGCCCGGGGCUCAACCCCGGGACUGCAUUUGGAACUGUGUGGCUGGAGUGUCGGAGAGGCAG